Molecule: ribosomal RNA, 253 nt
Filed under: uncultured bacterium
Lineage: Bacteria
Description: partial 16S ribosomal RNA
Rfam family: Bacterial small subunit ribosomal RNA
Source: RNAcentral
UACGGAGGGUGCGAGCGUUAAUCGGAAUUACUGGGCGUAAAGGGUGCGUAGGUGGUUGAAUAAGUUACUUGUGAAAUUCCUGGGCUCAACCUGGGGUGGUCAGGUAAGACUGUUUGACUCGAGUAUAGGAGAGGGUAGUGGAAUUUCCGGUGUAGCGGUGAAAUGCGUAGAGAUCGGAAGGAACACCGGUGGCGAAGGCGGCUACCUGGCCUGAUACUGACACUGAGGCACGAAAGCGUGGGGAGCAAACAGG